Canis lupus familiaris (dog) is the source of this 2848-nucleotide long non-coding RNA. RefSeq lists it as uncharacterized. The transcript has 3 exons. Lineage: Eukaryota; Metazoa; Chordata; Mammalia; Carnivora; Canidae. The record is from RefSeq and is a predicted model, not a curated record.
CCAGAGUCUGGAGAAGUCAGGUGAGGCCCAGGGCCUACGCCCUCUACAAGAAGAUCUGGUUCUCAUUCUUUCAACGGUUUGUUCCCUGAAACAGCAAGAAAGGAGACUCACAACUGGGAGUCAGGAGAACACAUUCCACUCCUUCCCCACCUUUAAAAGGCUGAGUGACCUUGUUCACACAAUUCUUAACCUGAUCAAGCUUCAGUCUUCUCUCCAGUGAGUGAAGAGCUCUGACAUCCUAUAUUGCAAACACCUAAAGUUUGUCUUUUAAGAGCCCCGUAAAACAGAGCUGGCCUUACCAUCAAGCUUCUCAUCAUUAACAAUAUAUCAGGGGUAUUUGCCCACAUGCACUGUCAUGGUCAACUCAUCAGUUAAAUGAUGCAUUUUAUUAGGACAGCCCAGACGCCUGAGUUAUCAGCUAAACAAAGCAUGCCAUCCUUCACUGCCUAGAGCCUGGAGACAGAAGUCCGUGUUCAACACAGGUAACAAAAUGCACUCAAAGGCUCUGGGGUCAGCCAGCGCUGGAUUACAUACGAUUCCAGCUCUGCCGCUGAGAGCCGGGAAAAUGACACAACCUCUCUGAGACUUAUUUCAGCAUUUCGCCAUUCGCUAAAUGGGAGAUGGCCCUAUUAGGCUACAGAGGAUCAAUAAGUUAUGUUCUGUGUAUGUGUGUUUAAUGCAGAUCCGAUUGCACCACUCCUCUAUGUAUGCUUUCUCUUCCACACGGCUCUUCUAGUAAAUGCAGACUUCUUGCAAGGAUGGUGGACAGGAUUCUGCAGGAUCCAGGGGGGCUGCCCAUGUGGCUCACUGAGUUUCAGCUCCUCACCCUCACCUAGCGCCUCCUUCCUCAGGGCCUCCACUUGUCAUUCCCCAGGUCUGCAAAGCUCUUCCCUCUAGGGCUCUGCCUGUUUCAUUCUGAAUCUUCCUAAAGUCUGUGCUUGGACAUCAUUCCUUAGAAUACGCUUUUCUGACUGCCACAGUCUCCAGCAGGUCCCUCUGCUGGACUUUCCUAUAAUACCUUCUACUUAUCCUCACAGCCUCGUCAGCAUUCAUGACCAACAACUGUUGCUCACACGGAUGACUGUAUGUCAGCCCCAGGACAGCGCAGAGCCCACUGCAGGCCCUCACCCUGAGCUCCCACUGCUUUUACCUCUAUCUGGGCCGUGUGCUUGGCAUAAAAUUCCAGAGCUUCAUCUCCAUCCACUUGGCCACCAGGUUUCAACAUGGUCUGAAGUUCUUUGUUAUGCCGAGCCAACUAGAACACACAUACGGAAAACAGGGGAGUCACUGUCUCAUCGCAGCAGGCACACAUGCGCUAUUUUCCAAGCUGGGGUAUAGAGAAAGCAUCAUAACGAGCGGCAGGCAGAGGAGCAGGGGUGGCCAGAGGCUUGCUGCAUCCCGUCAAGGUGUGCUUGGCACAGUGGCUAUGAGGGACAUGGGGUUUUCUGUACAGCCACAUGGAGUCUCCACUCAGAAUGUUCUGAAACCCUCUCAGUGGCCAGCCACAGGUAACGGAAGAGAUGAGGGGCAGGAGCCUGUUUUCUAUUCUUCUGCCAGCAUGCUGUAUGUAGCAGGGCAGGCCAACCUCCUGGCCCGUACCAUGGGUGCUUUAUCCCUCAUUCCUGCAACUGAACAAGGUGAAAGGGACAGGAAACACAAGCCUGGCGCAGAGGUACAAGCUGCCCACACAUGUCAGCAAGCUCAAGGCUCAUCAGACUCCAGAAAAAGAAAGUAUCUUCAAAAGCCCAGCCACUUGGGAAGAGAGUUAUGAAACAGCAUUUUGGUGCCAGGGUGGGAUACUCCCCUCCCCCCAAAAGCAAACAAAAAGAAGUCAUAACGACAAGUUCGUUCCCAAAGAUUUCUAAGUGUGAUAGGCAAGGCGGCCGAGGUUUCUUUAAGAGACUCAUCAAUAUUUAUGAAAAGCCUAAGACGCCUUUCAACCUUCUCCAAACACAGCCAUAAACCACCAAAGUGUCAAGGCUCAGCGUGGAGGCUUUUAAGAAACGUGGGGAUUUCCAGGGCCAUGACCCUUCCGUGGGAAAACAGGAGUCCUGGAACUCGGUACACUGCAUCGGAUUGCCACUAGGACCUGUGAGCCACAUUAUCACGAAUACAAACAGCCCUAAGUUAAAACCUUAAAGGAAAAGCAAGUCGAAGCACACGUUCACCUUGGAACUCUGGCACUGAAGGCCAGUGCCAACUGGCUCUGGGACCUAGAGAGAGGUCAUACCUGAUGAGCUAAUAUGUAGAUAUUGUGCCCCACAUUCCUGGGGGAGGCAGCUCCGUCCUCACCAUUCUCUCCAUCCUCAAAUUCCACUUCACCUUGCAUGUAGGCUUUCUUGAUCACUUCCACCUGUGAAGAAUGGUCAAACGAAUAAAGCUCCUGUUUCAAGGAAGUCCCACAAAGGACUGGCAUCUAUAGUCUCCCCUUCUGGGGCAGACAGUGUUCAGGAAGCUCAGCAUUCUUUCCUAUCAGGUUUGGAUCCAGCCUUAGAAUCCUUCUCAAUACUGCCACGGGCAGUCACUACCAAUCACCUUCCCCCAAAGCGAGAAAUGGAAUGCAUUUGCUGUAGCUGGACCAAGAGCUCUUCUAUAGCCGACCAAGGGGAUAAUGGUUAUCAACAUCCCUUGAAACAAUAAAAUAUGACACAAAUGUAGACUAGAAGCCAGACCUUUCCUAUCUAUGCAUUUCCUCUUGCCUUCUUCUCCCCAACCCCCAACCUUUGCCAUCUCAGGAAAACCUAGUAAGAAAUCCACUAGCCUUGAGGAAUAGCUGGUCAGACUAUUAUCUCUGAUUUCACAUUCUUCCCUAUCCACAUUCCUCUGUCCCUACUCCAUGUAAAAAUAA